GACGAACGCUGGCGGCGUGCUUAACACAUGCAAGUCGAACGGAAAGGCCCUGCUUUUGUGGGGUGCUCGAGUGGCGAACGGGGGAGUAACACGUGAGUAACCUGCCCUAGACUUUGGGAUAACUUCAGGAAACUGGGGUUAAUACCGGACAGGAGCCCCUGUUGCAUGGUGGGGGUUGGAAAGUUUCGGCUGUCGGGGAUGGACGCGCGGCUUAUCAGCUUGUUGGUGGGGUAGUGGCCGCCCAAGGCUUUGACGGGUAGCCGGCCUGAGAGGGUGACCGGCCACAUUGGGCCUGCGGUAGGGCCCAGUCUCCUACAGUGGACAGCAGUGGCGAAUAUUGCACAGUGAGCGGGAGCCUGAUGCGGCAGCGCCGCGUUCGGGAUGCCCGUCUUCGGGUUGUGAACCGCUUUCGCCUGAGACGAAGCUUUAGUGACGGUAAUGGGUGAAGAAGCACCGGCUAACUACGUG
Molecule: ribosomal RNA, 468 nt
Filed under: uncultured bacterium
Lineage: Bacteria
Description: partial 16S ribosomal RNA
Rfam family: Bacterial small subunit ribosomal RNA
Source: RNAcentral